GACGAACGCUGGCGGCGUGCUUAACACAUGCAAGUCGAACGGGUCUGCCCUGUUUUUUGCGGGGUGGGUCAGUGGCGAACGGGUGAGUAACACGUGAGUAACCUGCCCCUCACUUCUGGAUAACCGCUUGAAAGGGUGGCUAAUACGGGGUGUUCUGGCUGUGCCGCAUGGUGUGGCUGGGAAAGAUUCACUUUUGUGGUGUUUUGGUGGGGGAUGGGCUCGCGGCCUAUCAGCUUGUUGGGGGGGUGAUGGCCUGCCAAGGCUUUGACGGGUAGCCGGCCUGAGGGGGUGGGCGGUCACACUGGGACUGAGAUACGGCCCAGACUCCGGCGGGAGGCAGCAGUGGGGGGUAUUGCACAAUGGGCGGAAGCCUGAUGCAGCGACGUCGCGUGAGGGAUGGAGGCCUUCGGGUUGUGAACCUCUUUCGCCGGUGAAGAAGGUCCUGCUCUUUGGGGUGGGGUUGACGGUAGCCGGGUUAUGAAGCGCCGGCUAACUACGUG
RNAcentral lists this ribosomal RNA (500 nucleotides) under uncultured bacterium. Its description in RNAcentral is "partial 16S ribosomal RNA". It matches the Rfam family "Bacterial small subunit ribosomal RNA", at positions 28 to 507 of the family's 1533-position model. The record is from RNAcentral.